UACGGAGGGGGCUAGCGUUGUUCGGAAUUACUGGGCGUAAAGCGCACGUAGGCGGCCUUGUAAGUUAGAGGUGAAAGCCCAGGGCUCAACCCUGGAAUUGCCUUUAAGACUGCAUCGCUUGAACACGGGAGAGGUGAGUGGAAUUCCGAGUGUAGAGGUGAAAUUCGUAGAUAUUCGGAAGAACACCGGUGGCGAAGGCGGCAUCCUGGACCGACACUGACGCUGAGGAGCGAAAGCCAGGGGAGCAAACGGG
RNAcentral lists this ribosomal RNA (253 nucleotides) under uncultured bacterium. RNAcentral describes it as "partial 16S ribosomal RNA". It matches the Rfam family "Bacterial small subunit ribosomal RNA", at positions 524 to 776 of the family's 1533-position model. The record is from RNAcentral.